RNAcentral lists this long non-coding RNA (2636 nucleotides) under Mus musculus (house mouse). RNAcentral's name for it is "RIKEN cDNA 2810429I04 gene". The record is from RNAcentral. Lineage: Eukaryota; Metazoa; Chordata; Mammalia; Rodentia; Muridae.
GGGGCGGAGCCAUCCUGGAAGCGCGAAUCUGGUACCGGGACUUGGGGAGCGAGGGAUGCAACAUGGUGCAUCUGGGAGGCCUGCUAACUGGCUAACUUCUCCGGCGUUCCUCCCGGCCGAGGCGUGGGCACAGAAUAGCGCAGGUGAGGCCCAGAUAUGGUGUCUCGAUACGGCGCGGAAGUUUGAAGACAUCAUUUUCCAGUUUUGGAGCCGACUAAUGAACUAGUUCUUAAGUGAAAGGCAUUUAACACGACUGUGCAUCUACAGGUACUAGCUCCCUCUUCUCUUCCAGGUUUCCAAGAUGCCUUUCCAGACUAAAACCCACACAUGUGAGCCGCUGGCCGGACAAACAUCUGGCACCUAACGUGGGGCUGAAAAACAGCAGAGGACAUUUGGAAGAAACACUGCUGGUUUGGAGCUCCAUAGAAGAAGAAAAUAAUUAAAGGAAAUUCAUACCAGAGAAGAACACCCCAGUGAUGGCUAUUCUUGGUCAUAAACUUCACUACAUAUGGAAAUACUAAAACCCAAUCCAUUGGGGUCCAAACCAAUGGAGGGAUCGUUCUUGAUUGGAUCAUUCAAGAUGGAAAGACCCACCUUAAAUCUGGAUCAUUUGACCUGGAUCAGAAGAUCCACUCUAAAUAUGGGCCACACCUUCUAGAGACAAUGUAUAUAAAAGAACAGAGAAAAAAGCCCUUGUUUUUGCCUGCUUCCCUUCACUCUGACUGACAAAUUCACCCAUUCUGCUGCUGAGGCAUUCCUUCACUGGUAUUAGAAGCCACUUCUUCAGGAUUCCAAUGUAGACUGAAGACCAGCUGAGACAUCCAGCCCCAUGGAUCAAACAAUUAUUGGAUUCUUGGACUAUCGUAUCAGACUAGACAGACUAGAGACUUUAAGCCUCUCUAAUAAAUUGUACAUACAGAGAUAGAGAUAGAUAGAUAGAUAGAUAGAUAGAUAGAUAGAUAGAUAGAUAGAGUGUGCAUUCGUGUGUGUGUGUGUGUGUGUGUGUGUGUGUGUGUGUGUUGUCAUUGCUCUUAUUACCCAGGACUUGAUGGUAAAAUGGUAAGACACUAUUGCUGAAGACACCACAUACAUAGACAUGGAGAAACAAGUUGGUUCUUGCCUAAAGUUUUCAUCCCUACUGUCUAGUUUUCAUGGUGCUAAAGAAUAAUAGAAACCAGGCUUACUCAGUUGUGGAUGCUGUAAGUUGCAUUAGCAACCAGUCUGGCAAUACAUACCCACCAAUGUAAUGAUGGCAUGAAUGUCAUGGCAGUGACCAACCAGUUUCUGUUUAGACUUAAAGCCUGCUCCAAAAGAGGGAAUCCAUAUCUGAUACUAUUACUGAGACCACUAUAAGGAACUAUCUCUAUAAGGAUAUAGUAUUUUCUAGACUCAACAAGACAGUCGCAAAUAUAAACUCACAGAUUUAUUAUGACAUGACAAAAGCCUAUAAAAUCCCAAGCUAGAUAAACUCUCAGAAUGGAGAGGGGAGGUGGGCAAAAAAUUCCAUCCCUACCUGAGGUGCUUCUGGUAGUUGAUGGUGCCUGUUAGAUUGAGUUUGUUUCAUUUAAGGAUAUGGCCCCUGGUAGGUCAAUCAUUGUCUUAAGGUUGCUAUUGUGAUAAAACACCAGGAAAAAAGCAGAUUGUGGAGGGAAGGGUUUGUUUCAGGUUAUAUGUCUCAAUCACAAUCCAUCAUGAAAGGAAGUGAGGGCAGGAGUUCAAGGCAGGAACCUGGAAGCAGGAACUGAGGCAAAGGCUAUGAAAGAACACUGUUUACUGGCUUGUUCCACAUGACUUAACCAGUAUACUUUCCUAUACCAUUCAAGAUCACCUGCCCAGGGUGAGAACUGGCUCUCUGUGGGCUAGCCACAUCACUCAAUAAAAUGCCCCAUGAGCCUGCCCACAGGCUGUUGUGUGGCAAUGGGUUGGGGAUUAUUGAUUGAUAUUCCUUCUUCAAUGACAUGUGCCAAGUUGACAUAAAAUACCCAUAGAAAGAGUUACAGAGAGAAAAUUCAGAGCUGAGAUGGAAGGAAGGACCAUCCAGAAACUGCCCCACUUGGGGAUCCAUCCCAUAAACAACCACCAAACCCAGACACUAUUGCAUAUGCCAGCAAGAUUUUGCUGACAGGAGCCUGAUAUAGCUGUCUCUUGUGAGUCUAUGCCAGUGCCUGGCAAAUACAGAAGUGAAUGCCCACAGUCAUAUAUGGAACACAAGGCCAACAAUAAAGGAGCUAGAGAAAGUACCCAAGGAGUUAAAGGGUUCUGCAACCCUAUAGGAGGAACAACAAUAUGAACUAACCAGUACCACCACCACCCCAGAGCUUGUGUCUCUAGCUGCAUACGCAGCAGAUGAUGGCUUAGUAGGACAUCAAUGGGAGGAGAGGCCCUUGGUCUUGUGAAGAUCAUAUGCCCCAGUACAGGAGAAGGCCAGGGCCAGGAAGCAGGAGUAGGUGGAUUGGGGACCAGGGUGGGGGGACAGUAUAGGGAACUUUCAGGAUAGCACUUGAAAUGUAAAUGAAAAUAUCUACUAAAAAAAAAUAGCUAGCAGAACCCCAGGACACUCAACGAAGUUGAAAGUCGUUUUUGUUUUUUGGUUUUAGUUUUUUCCAACGGUUAAAAGUACCCUACAUGCUUUCAAA